This 439-nucleotide ribosomal RNA is filed under the name uncultured bacterium. RNAcentral describes it as "partial 16S ribosomal RNA". It matches the Rfam family "Bacterial small subunit ribosomal RNA", at positions 339 to 795 of the family's 1533-position model. The record is from RNAcentral.
CUACGGGAGGCAGCAGUGGGGAAUAUUGCACAAUGGGGGAAACCCUGAUGCAGCGACGCCGCGUGAUGGACGAAGGUUUUCGGAUCGUAAACAUCUAUCAGCAGGGAAGAAAAUGGCGGUACCUGACUAAGAAGCCCCGGCUAACUACGUGCCAGCAGCCGCGGUAAUACGUAGGGGGCAAGCGUUAUCCGGAAUUACUGGGUGUAAAGGGAGCGUAGGCGGUACUGCAAGUCCGAUGUGAAAGCCCGGGGCUCAACCCCGGGACUGCAUUAGAAACUGCAGAACUAGAGUACAGGAGAGGAAAGUGGAAUUCCUAGUGUAGCGGUGAAAUGCGUAGAUAUUAGGAGGAACACCAGUGGCGAAGGCGACUUUCUGGACUGUAACUGACGCUGAGGCUCGAAAGCGUGGGGAGCGAACAGGAUUAGAUACCCGGGUAGUC